This 765-nucleotide ribosomal RNA is filed under the name Salmonella enterica. RNAcentral's name for it is "partial 23S ribosomal RNA". It matches the Rfam family "Bacterial large subunit ribosomal RNA", at positions 1077 to 1757 of the family's 2925-position model. The record is from RNAcentral. Lineage: Bacteria; Pseudomonadati; Pseudomonadota; Gammaproteobacteria; Enterobacterales; Enterobacteriaceae.
GGGAAGGCCCAGACAGCCAGGAUGUUGGCUUAGAAGCAGCCAUCAUUUAAAGAAAGCGUAAUAGCUCACUGGUCGAGUCGGCCUGCGCGGAAGAUGUAACGGGGCUAAACCAUGCACCGAAGCUGCGGCAGCGAACGUAUCACCCAAGACAACUUUACGGAGUUGACGAUUGACGGAGCGAAGCGACGUCAAAGCGUUCAUUAAAGUCGAGUUGGCUUAGGGAUACGUUCGUUGGGUAGGGGAGCGUUCUGUAAGCCUGUGAAGGUGGCCUGUGAGGGUUGCUGGAGGUAUCAGAAGUGCGAAUGCUGACAUAAGUAACGAUAAAGCGGGUGAAAAGCCCGCUCGCCGGAAGACCAAGGGUUCCUGUCCAACGUUAAUCGGGGCAGGGUGAGUCGACCCCUAAGGCGAGGCCGAAAGGCGUAGUCGAUGGGAAACGGGUUAAUAUUCCCGUACUUGGUGUUACUGCGAAGGGGGGACGGAGAAGGCUAUGUUGGCCGGGCGACGGUUGUCCCGGUUUAAGCGUGUAGGUGUGUGUUCCAGGUAAAUCCGGUUCACUUUAACACUGAGGCGUGAUGACGAGGCACUACGGUGCUGAAGCAACAAAUGCCCUGCUUCCAGGAAAAGCCUCUAAGCAUCAGGUAACAUCAAAUCGUACCCCAAACCGACACAGGUGGUCAGGUAGAGAAUACCAAGGCGCUUGAGAGAACUCGGGUGAAGGAACUAGGCAAAAUGGUGCCGUAACUUCGGGAGAAGGCACGCUGACAC